GACGAACGCUGGCGGCGUGCUUAACACAUGCAAGUCGAACGGAAAGGCCCUUCGGGGUACUCGAGUGGCGAACGGGUGAGUAACACGUGGGUGAUCUGCCCUGCACUUUGGGAUAAGCCUGGGAAACUGGGUCUAAUACCGAAUAGGACCACGCGCUUCAUGGUGUGUGGUGGAAAGCUUUUGCGGCGUGGGAUGGGCCCGCGGCCUAUCAGCUCGUUGGUGGGGUAAUGGCCUACCAAGGCGACGACUGGUAGCCGGCCUGAGAGGGUGACCGGCCACACUGGGACUGCGAUACGGCCCAGACUCCUACGGGAGGCAGCAGUGGGGAAUAUUGCACAAUGGGCGCAAGCCUGAGGCAGCGACGCCGCGUGAGGGAUGCCGGCCUUCGGGUUGUAAACCUCUUUCAAUGGAGACGAAGCGCAAGUGACGGUACCUAAAGAAGAAGCACCGGCCAACUACGUG
RNAcentral lists this ribosomal RNA (462 nucleotides) under uncultured bacterium. Its description in RNAcentral is "partial 16S ribosomal RNA". It matches the Rfam family "Bacterial small subunit ribosomal RNA", at positions 28 to 507 of the family's 1533-position model. The record is from RNAcentral.